UAGAAAUCAAAUUUAUUAAUUCAGUUAAAGGUGAGUGACUUUGACACACUGCAGGCUAGACUGAGGGGUUACGCAUCACCAGUGGUGACCUGUACAAACGUCAAUAUAAAUUAAAAGUAUUUUAAUAAUAAUUUAGUUAUUAGCGAGCCUGGCUAUUUAUGUUUUCUGCACUUGGACAUAUUUUCUUUAUUAUAUAUGUAGAAUUGAAAAAAAGCACAACAUUGCAUACUUGCAAUUUACAGAUAUACAUAUUUAAUGAAUUGAUUAUUUGCAGUGCUGCCACGCCUGUGUCUCUAAUAUGGUUGCGUCUUCAGGUCGUGGCAUCUUCACUUUAGCCAAUUUCAAACAAGGAGACUUUGUGGUCGAGUAUAGAGGGGAGCUUAUUGAUGCAACUGAAGCUGAACACAGAUGUAACCUGUACCCCAGCGCAUGUUCAGUCUUCAUGUUUGAAUUCAUAUGGAAGCAGAAGACAUUGUGGUAAAUUCAAAAUGACUGAACGUUUACAUUUCUAUUGCAAGGUCAGGAUUUCUGAAGCAAACAUCUCAUAUUGCUCUUUAACGAGUCCUUACCUCUAGUACCCGGCCCCGUUAGUCCCCAGAAUCUAUAGAAGGGGGAGUGACGGACCCGUGGAAUAGCGGGAUCUCAUUCUUACUAAGGCUCCGUCAUUUCCCGGUGACCCUGUGGUCCCCAGGAAUUCGCGGUACUGGGGACUGACGGGACUCCCACAUAUGCUGAGGGCCCGUUAGUCCCCGUAUUCAGCCUGUGUGUGCCUUCUCUAAUACACACUCACGGGCGUAAUGUACGGGGUUAGAGGGGUAAUAAUAUAAGCCUACAUUUUACAGCUAAGACAGUGUGCUCACGCUGCUGUGAAGAUUUAAAAUAUAAUAUAGAGAUAGAGAAAAUAAUAAGAGAAAAUUCAAAUGGCCAGGGCUGAAUGAGCGGCCCUGUGUCUGUGCGCAUUUGGCACAUGUGGACACGGAGACUCGUGCACUGUUAUACUGUGUCCAAAACUACUGUAUAAUAUGUACAAUGCCAAAAUAGUACAUGUCAAGUGUUCUCUGUCUGUGAGGUAGGUAGAUGGAUAGGUAGGUGAAAAACCUUUCAACACAAAAAAUAAAGAACAUUUCAUUAAUCAUUCAGAUAAAUUAAAUGCAUUAUACAGAAGACAAAUGAAAUAAAAAUACACACUUCAGUAAAGCCACUUUUGUCUAAACUAUCAUUUAUCCUAGUUUUAGUUUUACAUUCAUUAGUUUUUAAAUCAGAGGUGAGUAAUUUCAAACAACAAAGAUGAAAUAAACUGUGGUCUACCUUGCAUUUUUUACACUUUCUGUAACAAUUACAUUUUUAAAGUAUACAUUUUAGAGUUUACAAAUAUUUUAAUAAAGACUUUAACCAAGGAUUUUCUUUUACAAAGAAUUAUUUUCUUUAAAUUAAACCAAACAUAUUUACACUAGUUUUAAGAUUUAACCAAGGAUUUGGGGUAAUUACUUUUAGUAUUAAUUAACGUAAAUGUGUGGGAAACACUAUCUACAUAAACAAUUUAUUCAAACUUAAACAUUUAUUUUAAUAUCAAUAUAAUUUUUUAAACUUAAAUGCAGUAACUAUUUCCCAAAGCAUAAAUACAUUUCCACAAUUGAGCUUCCAUAGUUCCCAAACAUAUAAGCAGCAAAUAUGAGUCCAAGCUUACCGAUAGCCCGUCUAACUCAAAGUCUUCCUCACAGUGGGAAGUGGAUUGUGCUUGGUUUGCUGUCCUCUCAGUAUGUCGCACUCGGGUCAAAUGACUGCUGCAUGCAUUUUAAGGUCUACUAGGCACGCCCGCCCUUGAUUGCUCUAAUUCAACUCACCU
Oreochromis aureus is the source of this 1846-nucleotide long non-coding RNA. NCBI's taxonomy places the organism in Eukaryota, Metazoa, Chordata, Actinopteri, Cichliformes, Cichlidae. The record is from Ensembl.